ACGCGUGGGAAUCUGCCUAGUAGUGGGGGACAACAGUCGGAAACGACUGCUAAUACCGCAUACGCCCUACGGGGGAAAGCGGGGGAUCUUCGGACCUCGCGCUAUUAGAUGAGCCCGCGUUGGAUUAGCUUGUUGGUGGGGUAAUGGCCUACCAAGGCGACGAUCCAUAGCUGGUCUGAGAGGAUGAUCAGCCACACUGGGACUGAGACACGGCCCAGACUCCUACGGGAGGCAGCAGUGGGGAAUAUUGGACAAUGGGCGAAAGCCUGAUCCAGCCAUGCCGCGUGUGUGAAGAAGGCCUUAGGGUUGUAA
RNAcentral lists this ribosomal RNA (312 nucleotides) under Marinobacterium sp. SP21. RNAcentral describes it as "bacterial SSU rRNA". It matches the Rfam family "Bacterial small subunit ribosomal RNA", at positions 113 to 428 of the family's 1533-position model. The record is from RNAcentral. Lineage: Bacteria; Pseudomonadati; Pseudomonadota; Gammaproteobacteria; Oceanospirillales; Oceanospirillaceae.